Molecule: unclassified non-coding RNA, 643 nt
Filed under: Hevea brasiliensis (rubber tree)
Lineage: Eukaryota; Viridiplantae; Streptophyta; Magnoliopsida; Malpighiales; Euphorbiaceae
Source: RNAcentral
GUUGGCACCUUUCAUUGGACAUGUAGGAAUAUGCAGAGAGGACGGUUCUGCCGUGGCCUUUUCUGGUUCCAACUUUAUUAACAUUGAUGAUUUUGCAUUAGGUUCUGUGGCCAAAUACCUUCAACUAGACAGAAAACAGUGCUGCUUUCCACGAAACCUUGCUGCACACACAUGUAAGCAUGGCUAUAAACACACAGAGUUUGGGUCUGCAAUUACUUGGGAUGAUGCCAUCCAAUCAAGCGUUCGUCAUUUUGAGCACAAAUCGUACAAUAUAUUCACUUGCAACAGCUAUUCUUUUGUUGCUAAUUGCCUGAACAGGCUCUGCUAUGGAGGAUCAAUGGAUUGGAACAUGAUCAAUGUUGGUGCUCUUUUAUUGUUCAAAGGACAUUGGGUUGACAACAUGUCAAUCUUGAGAUCAUUUUCACCUUUUAUGCUAGUUGUAUGCUUUGGCAUUUUCAUGGUGGGAUGGCCUUUUAUGGUAGCAUUAUUGGCUUUCUCACUUCUUCUUUUAGCAUGGUUUAUUUUUGGUACUUACUGUCUCAAAAAUCUGUUGGAUUCCUAGGUUUCUUGUAUCACACUGCUACAAGAUUAAAAUUUGUUAAUCCUUAAUAUGUGAAGAACCCCAUAGACUUUGAUAACUCUG